AGUCACUGACAUUAGAUACCCCCGGUAGUCCAGGGUGUAAACGCUGCAGACUUGGUGUUGGAAGCCCUUGGGGGCAUUCAGUGCCGGAGAGAAGUUGUUAAGUCUGCUACUUGGGGAGUACGUCCGCAAGGAUGAAACUUAAAGGAAUUGGCGGGGGAGCACCGCAACGGGAGGAGCGUGCGGUUUAAUUGGAUUCAACACCGUAAAACUCACCAGGGAAGACUGUUACAUGAAGGCCGAGAUGAAGACUCUGCUAGAUUUUUCAG
This 266-nucleotide ribosomal RNA is filed under the name uncultured archaeon. RNAcentral's name for it is "partial 16S ribosomal RNA". It matches the Rfam family "Archaeal small subunit ribosomal RNA", at positions 715 to 982 of the family's 1478-position model. The record is from RNAcentral.